GAGUUUGAUCUUGGCUCAGGACGAACGCUGGCGGCGUGCUUAACACAUGCAAGUCGAACGAGAAUCUACUGAAAGAGUUUUCGGACAAUGGAAGUAGAGGAAAGUGGCGGACGGGUGAGUAACGCGUGAGGAACCUGCCUUGAAGAGGGGGACAACAGUUGGAGACGACUGCUAAUACCGCAUGAUGCAUAAGGGUCGCAUGAUUCUUAUGCCAAAGAUUUAUCGCUUCAAGAUGGCCUCGCGUCUGAUUAGCUAGUUGGCGGGGUAACGGCCCACCAAGGCGACGAUCAGUAGCCGGACUGAGAGGUUGAACGGCCACAUUGGGACUGAGAUACGGCCCAGACUCCUACGGGAGGCAGCAGUGGGGAAUAUUGGGCAAUGGGCGCAAGCCUGACCCAGCAACGCCGCGUGAAGGAGAAGGCUUUCGGUAUGUAACUUCUAUCAGCAGGAAGAAAAUGACGGUACCUGACUAAGAAGCCCGGCUAA
This 486-nucleotide ribosomal RNA is filed under the name uncultured microorganism. Its description in RNAcentral is "bacterial SSU rRNA". It matches the Rfam family "Bacterial small subunit ribosomal RNA", at positions 9 to 500 of the family's 1533-position model. The record is from RNAcentral.